This 119-nucleotide ribosomal RNA is filed under the name Pteropus alecto (black flying fox). Lineage: Eukaryota; Metazoa; Chordata; Mammalia; Chiroptera; Pteropodidae. The record is from RNAcentral.
GUCUACGGCCAUGCUACCCUGAACCACCCCAAUCCCGUCUGAUAUCGGAAGCUAAGUAGGGUCGGGCCUGGUUAGUACUUGGAUGGGAGACCACCUAGGAAGACCAGGUGCUGUAGGCG